AAAGGAAAAAAUUACACAGACCUCUCCCUUGUAGUCUUUGAAAUUACUCUACACUCUCUUACUUUAUCUGAUAACAGACACAAACCUCCUAAUUGUUAGCAAACCGUUAAAAACAAUAACGAAAUAUUUUAAUGUCAGUUAAUUAUUAUGUGUUAAUGUCAAUAAUGUCUUUCCCUCUGUUCUUCAAAUCUCUCUUUAAAAUUACACAUACCUCUACUAGGAAAUUAUAUAUAAUAUAAUUAGUAGGUUUUAAACAUAUAAUUAGCACGAACCAAUAAAUUGAAUACAAAUAUAUGUAUGUAGAGUUCAUAGUACCUAUAUAUAUCUAUAUGUAAACAUAUACUUAUUUAUUGUUUUAAAGUUGAGCUCCUUUAUAAACUAAAAAAAUAUUCUAAUAAAAAAAUCAAAGCUAAUUUUGAUUUCCCUUGUGACAUUGAUUUUUUUUAAAAUAUGUGAGCAUAGAAAGUGCGAAGUGCUAUAUUCUCCUAAAAAAUAUGCCACGCAAGAUAUCAAUAAUAAUUAAAGUAUACAUAAUAUAUACAGUAAAAAGUUCUAGGUUUCAUUAGAGUUCAAACUUAAAGGCCUAGUUUGGUCUUGGGAAGGUAUGACACUCAGUUGCGAGGAGCGCUGAUAGAAGUGCUCGUUUAGAUCACUGACACUUGGAAGGUUGUGCAGUCAGGGACUGCAACGAAGGUUUAGAUUGUUGCAUUGUGCUUCGGACGCUAGAAGGAUCGUUGCAUUUGAUAUUGGAAAUACAUCGCAUCAGAAAACAAAGGUUGCACUGGUGAGGUUGAAGAAGAAAUGG
Molecule: long non-coding RNA, 805 nt
Filed under: Actinidia chinensis (golden kiwifruit)
Lineage: Eukaryota; Viridiplantae; Streptophyta; Magnoliopsida; Ericales; Actinidiaceae
Description: long non-coding RNA (ACHI_LNC003041)
Source: RNAcentral